UGGAGGCAGAACAGGGGGAGGGAUGGCGGGCCAGGCCCGUGUAGGGGAACUGGGACCGGCAGCGAUGGCUCCCCUGGUAGCCCAGGUGGCUCGGUCAGAUCAGGGCGCCAUGGUGGACCCGAAAGUUCAGGGGACCACGAGGGACCAGGCAGUUCAGGUGGCCACGGUGGAUCAGUCCAUUCUCGUUGUGCAGACGGCCAGGGAGGAAUUCGCCAUUUGAGUGGCCCGAACGGAACCUGCCAAUCGGGGAGCCAGUAAGGAGCAGGCUGUGGCGAUGGCCCGGUCACGGCAUUGGGAACGGCAUCAGGAACGACCUCAGACAAGGGCACCGCCUCGGGAACGGCCUUGGACACGGGUAUCGCCUCCGGAGCCAUCCUGGGCCCCGCAUCGGCCUCCGGAACAGCAUCGGCCACCGCCUCUGGAAUGGCCUCAGGAACGGCCUCAGGAACGGCAUCGGACCAGGACACCGCCUCGGGAACGGUCUCAGGAACGGCCUCAGGAACGGCCUCAGGAACGGCCUCAGGAACGGCCUCAGGAACGGCAUUGGACAAGGACACCGCCUCGGGAACGAUCUCUGCAUCGGGCACCACCUCAGGAACGACCUCGGCCUGCGCAUCGGCCACCGCCUCAGGAACCACCUCGGCCACCGCAUCGG
Cyprinus carpio carpio is the source of this 655-nucleotide long non-coding RNA. NCBI's taxonomy places the organism in Eukaryota, Metazoa, Chordata, Actinopteri, Cypriniformes, Cyprinidae. The record is from Ensembl.